This 21-nucleotide microRNA is filed under the name Ornithorhynchus anatinus (platypus). RNAcentral's name for it is "oan-miR-302-5p". Its record names the gene oan-miR-302-5p. Lineage: Eukaryota; Metazoa; Chordata; Mammalia; Monotremata; Ornithorhynchidae. The record is from miRBase by way of RNAcentral.
UUUAACAUGGAGGUGCUUUCU